Molecule: ribosomal RNA, 802 nt
Filed under: fungal sp. shylm91
Lineage: Eukaryota; Fungi
Description: eukaryotic LSU rRNA
Rfam family: 5.8S ribosomal RNA (bases 295-449)
Source: RNAcentral
CGAAGCAAACAAAGGUUCAAUAAACAUAGGGUUAGGAGGUCGGGCCGAGAAGACCCUAACUCGUUAAUGAUCCGUCCGUAGGGUGAACCUGCGGAAGGAUCAUUAACGAGUUAGGGUCUUCUCGGCCCGACCUCCUAACCCUAUGUUUAUUGAACCUUUGUUGCUUCGGCGGGCCCGUCUCACGACCGCCGGGGGUCCGUAAGACGUCCUCUGGNCCGUGUCCGCCGGUGGCCAAAUUUAACAAAUUCUGAUUAAAAUGUGUCAAUGCCUAAGUACAAUUUUUAAUUAAAGCAAAACUUUCAACAACGGAUCUCUUGGUUCUGGCAUCGAUGAAGAACGCAGCGAAAUGCGAUAAGUAAUGCGAAUUGCAGAAUUCCAGUGAGUCAUCGAAUCUUUGAACGCACAUUGCGCCCUUUGGUAUUCCGAAGGGCAUGCCUGUUCGAGCGUCAUUAUCACCCCUCAAGCCUUCGGCUUGGUGUUGGACGGUUUGGUUUUGGUGACAAGACCCCUCCUAAAAUCAAUGACGNCGGCCUGUUCGACCCCCGGUACACUGAGCUUUUUAACUGAGCACGUAUCGGCCUCAGGGUAGGCAGGACCCGGUCUUCUUUAACGGGAAACUCUUUCCAAGGUUGACCUCGGAUCAGGUAGGGAUACCCGCUGAACUUAAGCAUAUCAAUAAGCGGAGGAAGGAUCAUUAACGAGUUAGGGUCUUCUCGGCCGACCUCCUAACCCUAUGUUUAUUGAACCUUUGUUGCUUCGGCGGGCCCGUCUCACGACCGCGGGGGGUCGUAAGAACGUCUUC